CCUAGCAGCCAGUUGCUCCAGCUCCCUCAAGUCAUCUGAUGUACCAGAUCCUUGCUUGCCUUCAAGGAUACCAAAUAGCACAUUUUAUUAUUCCAUCCUCCUCUUAAUUCUGAGGGAACUAAAUUAUGCCUGCAAAUGAUUGAGCCUCAGCAAUUGAAUUACCUUGCAAAUUGCCAGUUCUAGAAACUGCCACGUUCUAAGGAUACCACUCGGUACGAUCUUGCAGAACGCAUACUCUCAAGAAGAACUUCCUCCAAAUGCUUCAGCAGUAGAGGAAAAAUCCUGUUCACUCAAUGGCCGGACACUACCUCAAGAACUGAAAGUAAGCUAUCUGAAGGCACUGA
Non-coding RNA from Myodes glareolus (Bank vole), 344 nucleotides. The record is from RefSeq and is a predicted model, not a curated record. Lineage: Eukaryota; Metazoa; Chordata; Mammalia; Rodentia; Cricetidae.